Sesamum indicum (sesame) is the source of this 602-nucleotide long non-coding RNA. RefSeq lists it as uncharacterized. NCBI's taxonomy places the organism in Eukaryota, Viridiplantae, Streptophyta, Magnoliopsida, Lamiales, Pedaliaceae. The record is from RefSeq and is a predicted model, not a curated record.
AUCUCAUUGUUUGUGUGCGUGAACUGCGCAUUAUGUGAAAACAUACAAAACAAAAUGAUGGCAAGAAAUCUUAUUGUGUUUCACCAAAUCUGUGUCAACCCACAAACACACUCUCCCAAAAAAUCAUGGCCGUCCUUUCUACGAUAGUUUCAACGCCGGUUCCGACCAGCACUGCACCACCGAAUCUGAUACGGAGUACUUAACCACGGCACCCAUCUUCAUUUGCUGGGUGAGAACUGAGGAGUGGAAAGUUGUGCGAUAUUAUAGAAGAAGAUGGAGAGUGGUUUCUUAAGCAAGAGGUUCAUGGGGGCUCUCAGGUGUUUGUUCGGGUUCAGUAGGAUUUUCAAGUGCAUAUUCAGGUUCAGGAGGGUUUCCUGGUGUCUAUGAAGGUCCAGGUGAAUUUUCAGAUGUUUGGCCAAGUUCAGGGUUCAAAGGGAUUUUCAGCUUCAAUUUGGUCAUUUUCAGAGUCUUCCAACAUAUCAACAGACCAAUCAUCUGUAAAUUCAUUUAAUGGAUUCUUUCGAGUUGGUUAUGAAAGGACAAUAAAGGUACUUGUUGUUCAUCUGUUGAAAUUAUAUUACCCUAAGUACAAAUCACCAAUA